GAUGAACGCUGGCGGCGUGCUUAACACAUGCAAGUCGAACGGAAAGGCCCAAGCUUGCUUGGGUACUCGAGUGGCGAACGGGUGAGUAACACGUGGGUGAUCUGCCCUGCACUUCGGGAUAAGCCUGGGAAACUGGGUCUAAUACCGGAUAGGACCACAUUUUGGAUGGUGUGGUGGAAAGUUUUUCGGUGUGGGAUGAGCUCGCGGCCUAUCAGCUUGUUGGUGGGGUAAUGGCCUACCAAGGCGUCGACGGGUAGCCGGCCUGAGAGGGUGUACGGCCACAUUGGGACUGAGAUACGGCCCAGACUCCUACGGGAGGCAGCAGGGGGGAAUAUUGCACAAUGGGCGCAAGCCUGAUGCGGCGAAGCCGCGUGGGGGAUGACGGCCUUCGGGUUGUAAACACCUUUCGCUAGGGACGAAGCGUUAUGUGACGGUACCUGGAGAAGAAGCACCGGCUAACUACGUG
Molecule: ribosomal RNA, 466 nt
Filed under: uncultured bacterium
Lineage: Bacteria
Description: partial 16S ribosomal RNA
Rfam family: Bacterial small subunit ribosomal RNA
Source: RNAcentral